RNAcentral lists this unclassified non-coding RNA (161 nucleotides) under soil metagenome. RNAcentral describes it as "partial contains 5.8S ribosomal RNA, internal transcribed spacer 2, and large subunit ribosomal RNA". The record is from RNAcentral.
AACACUGUUAACCUGCGGUACCUGCGGAGGGAUCAUUACUGUGAUUUACUACUACACUGCGUGAGCGGAACGAAAACAACAACACCUAAAAUGUGGGAUAUAGCAUAUAGUCGACAAGAGAAAUCUACGAAAAAACAAACAAAACUUUUAACAAUGGAUCU